CCUACGGGAGGCAGCAGUGAGGAAUAUUGGUCAAUGGGCGCGAGCCUGAACCAGCCAAGUAGCGUGAAGGAGGACGGCCCUACGGGUUGUAAACUUCUGUUAUAAAGGAAUAAAGUGAGGCACGUGUGCCUUUUUGUAUGUACCUUAUGAAUAAGGAUCGGCUAACUCCGUGCCAGCAGCCGCGGUAAUACGGAGGAUACGAGCGUUAUCCGGAUUUAUUGGGUUUAAAGGGCGUGUAGAUGGGUUGUUAAGUCAGUUGUGAAAGUUUGCGGCUCAACCGUAAAAUUGCAAUUGAUACUGGCAGUCUUGAGUACAGUUGAGGUAGGCGGCAUUCGUGGUGUCGCGG
RNAcentral lists this ribosomal RNA (346 nucleotides) under uncultured bacterium. RNAcentral's name for it is "partial 16S ribosomal RNA". It matches the Rfam family "Bacterial small subunit ribosomal RNA", at positions 338 to 681 of the family's 1533-position model. The record is from RNAcentral.